GGGAAUGUGGCUUAGUGGUAGAGUGUUUGCCUAGCAUGCAAGAAGCCCUUUUCCU
Molecule: non-coding RNA, 55 nt
Organism: Dipodomys ordii (Ord's kangaroo rat)
Lineage: Eukaryota; Metazoa; Chordata; Mammalia; Rodentia; Heteromyidae
Source: Rfam